AAAUAUAGUUACUUUAAGAAAUAAAAAUAUUUAAUAUAACUAAUUUAAAUUCGACCAAUCAUAAAUUUAAAACUUUAACAUUUAAUAAGUGGAUAAUCAACCAAAUUCUUAAAAAACACAAAACAACAAAUACAUAGUAGGGUCAUUUCUGUCAUUCCGCUUUGGUUACACCGUUCUUCUUCCCCUUGCUUCCGCUGUGCAUCCGCACUUAGACAAGGAGUCCAGCUGCGCCUGCGCAUCAUCUAGGCUUUAUAUUAAUCUUCCACAGUUCCACUUCCAUUUCCAUCAGUAUCCAAAUGACCAAAAUACCCUUGCAUUUUUGUACAGACCAAGCAGCAGACACGGCUGAAUCCCUUUUAGUUACAUUACAGGCAAAGGCAAAGUAAACGCAGACUGGCCAAGAAAAAGUUAAAGAAAAAGAGAUUACUUUUCAAAAUAUUUAUUUUUUUAAUUAUUUUCUACUUUCCUUUGAACACGUCUCUGUAACGCAAGAGAGAGUCCAGUCUCUGCAACUUCAAUUGCUGCUUA
This 528-nucleotide unclassified non-coding RNA is filed under the name Hevea brasiliensis (rubber tree). Lineage: Eukaryota; Viridiplantae; Streptophyta; Magnoliopsida; Malpighiales; Euphorbiaceae. The record is from RNAcentral.